GACCCCUUGGGGUUAUAUGGUCAAGCGAUGAAGCGCAUACGGUGGAUGCCUAGGCAGCCAGAGGCGAUGAAGGACGUGGAAGCCUGCGAUAAGGUUCGGCGAGGUGGCAAACAACCUGUGACCCGGACAUUUCCGAAUGGGGAAACCCACCCAGGGUAACCUGGGUAUCUCACACUGAAUCCAUAGGUGUGGGAGGCGAACCGGGGGAACUGAAACAUCUAAGUACCCCGAGGAAAAGAAAUCAACCGAGAUUCCCCCAGUAGCGGCGAGCGAACGGGGACUAGCCCUUAAGCGGGUGACUGAUUAGGCGAAUGAGCUGGGAAGCUCAACGAUACAGGGUGAUAGUCCCGUAGCCGAAAAUCUGAUCCCGUGAAAUCGAGUAGGUCGGGGCACGUGAAACCUUGACUGAAGACGGGGGGACCAUCCUCCAAGGCUAAAUACUCCUGGCUGACCGAUAGUGAACCAGUACCGUGAGGGAAAGGCGAAAAGAACCCCGGAGAGGGGAGUGAAAUAGAUCCUGAAACCGUGUGCGUACAAGCAGUGGGAGCCGACUCGUUCGGUGACCGCGUACCUUUUGUAUAAUGGGUCAGCGACUUAUUUUCAGUGGCGAGCUUAACCGUAUAGGGGAGGCGUAGGGAAACCGAGUCUUAACUGGGCGACCAGUCGCUGGAAAUAGACCCGAAACCGGGCGAUCUAUCCAUGAGCAGGUUGAAGGUUGAGUAACAUCAACUGGAGGACCGAACCAGGAUCUGUUGAAAAAGAUUUGGAUGACUUGUGGAUCGGAGUGAAAGGCUAAUCAAGCCCGGAGAUAGCUGGUUCUCCUCGAAAGCUAUUUAGGUAGCGCCUCACGUAUCACCGCCGGGGGUAGAGCACUGUUUCGGCUAGGGGGUCAUCCCGACUUACCAACCCGAGGCAAACUCCGAAUACCGGUGAGUGCAGCGUGGGAGACACACAGCGGGUGCUAACGUCCGUUGUGAAAAGGGAAACAACCCAGACCGUCAGCUAAGGUCCCGAAAUCCUGGUUAAGUGGGAAACGAUGUGGGAAGGCU
This 1049-nucleotide ribosomal RNA is filed under the name Halomonas nitroreducens. RNAcentral describes it as "partial 23S ribosomal RNA". It matches the Rfam family "Bacterial large subunit ribosomal RNA", at positions 1 to 1085 of the family's 2925-position model. The record is from RNAcentral. Lineage: Bacteria; Pseudomonadati; Pseudomonadota; Gammaproteobacteria; Oceanospirillales; Halomonadaceae.